AAGUCGUAACAAGGUCUCCGUAGGUGAACCUGCGGAGGGAUCAUUACCGAGAUGAGGCGCCCGCGCGCCCACCUCCCAACCCUCUGUCGACCUACCGCGUUGCCUCGGGCCGCCGCUCGCGGGCGCCCCAGAGGACACCAAUCGAAACUCUGCAUCUCAUGCGUCGGAGUCAUUAUGAAAUCAAUCAAAACUUUCAACAACGGAUCUCUUGGUUCUGGCAUCGAUGAAGAACGCAGCGAAAUGCGAUAAGUAAUGUGAAUUGCAGAAUUCAGUGAAUCAUCGAAUCUUUGAACGCACAUUGCGCCCUUUGGCAUUCCGAGGGCAUGCCGUUCGAGCGUCAUUACACCACUCGAGCCUGCUUGGUAUUGGCGCGGAGCACCCGCGCUCUAUGUUGUCGGCUGGACGGUUCGAAUCUCAGCGUUGUGGUUAAUCAGAUCGCUGCGGGACGACCGGACGCGCCGUUAAACGUCACACAGGUUGACCUCGGAUCGGGUAGGAUACCCGCUGAACUUAA
RNAcentral lists this ribosomal RNA (514 nucleotides) under uncultured fungus. RNAcentral describes it as "eukaryotic LSU rRNA". The stretch from base 189 to 340 matches the Rfam family "5.8S ribosomal RNA". The record is from RNAcentral. Lineage: Eukaryota; Fungi.